CGGGUCCGGGCCCCGCCUCUCCACUCGGCGGUGGCGUCCGUGUCGUUAUUGUGGUGGUAGCGGCGUCUGGCUGCUGCGGACCCCGCCGAGUCCUAGCGCCUGGCCUGCGCGCCGCUGCCCGCGCCACAGGAUUAAUUUAUUUUUGGAAAUCAAGUGCAAUAUUGGAAGCCAUUUCUACUAAUUUUAUUUCACUUUUAAAUUUAUGAUUUGAUUUGAAUACUAUCAUGGGAGGAGCUGUGAGUGCUGGGGAAGAUAAUGAUGACUUAAUUGAUAAUUUAAAAGAAGCUCAGUAUAUUCGUACUGAAAGAGUGGAGCAAGCCUUCAGAGCGAUUGAUCGUGGAGAUUACUAUUUGGAAGGCUACAGAGACAAUGCUUACAAAGACUUAGCCUGGAAGCAUGGAAACAUCCACUUGUCAGCACCUUGCAUUUAUUCUGAAGUUAUGGAAGCAUUGAAACUUCAACCAGGAUUGUCUUUUCUUAACCUGGGAAGUGGAACCGGAUAUUUAAGUACAAUGGUGGGCUUAAUUUUAGGUCCUUUUGGAAUAAAUCAUGGGAUUGAGCUUCAUUCAGAUGUGGUGGAAUAUGCCAAGGAAAAACUGGAGAGCUUCAUCAAAAAUAGUGAUAGCUUUGAUAAAUUUGAGUUCUGUGAACCUGCAUUUGUUGUUGGUAAUUGCCUCCAGAUAGCAUCUGACAGUCAUCAGUAUGAUCGAAUUUAUUGUGGAGCUGGAGUCCAGAAAGACCAUGAAAACUACAUGAAAAUAUUACUAAAAGUUGGAGGCAUAUUAGUCAUGCCUAUAGAGGAUCAGUUAACACAGAUUAUGCGAACUGGACAGAACACUUGGGAAAGUAAAAAUAUCCUUGCUGUUUCAUUUGCUCCACUUGUGCAACCAAGUAAGAAUGAUAAUGGCAAACCAGAUUCUGUGGGACUCCGUAAGUAGCUCUUCAUAUUUUCUGAUUGAAUUAUGACUUAUGGUGUUUGGCUUUUAUGCUUGGGAUUUAAGACUAUGUAAUUAUGAAGAAUUAAAUACUUAUGCAGUAAGAUAUUUGGUGGAUUUAUUCAACUUUUUUUUUUUUUUUUGGAGACAGUCUUGUUCUGUUACCCAGGCUCGAGUGCAGUGGUGCCAUGUCGGCUCACAGCAAUGUCUGCCUCCUGGGUUCAAGCGAUUCUUGUGCCUCAGACACCCAAGUAGGUGGGAUUACAGGUGUGCACCACCACGCCUGGCUAAUUUUUGUAUUUUUAGAAGAGACGCUGUUUCACCAUGUUGGCCAGGCUGGCCUCAAACACCUGACCUCGAGUGAUCCACCCAUCUCAGCCUCCCAAAGUGCUGGGAUUAUAGGCGUGAGCCAUGCGCACUGGGCCUCAAUUUUUUUUUUUGGUAAAAUAAAGCCCUCACCUUAUACUAGACACUGUUAGCUACCUUCAUGGAAACAUAAGAAGAAGGGGCAGGUCAAACCAAAACCAAAUUUAUUAAUUAUAGUUUGUGAUGUGGUGGCAAGUUACUGGUUGUGGGAAGGGCAUCUACUGUAGGUAUGGUGGUAAGGAAGAACUUUCUGCCAAGGCAACAUCUAAAUUAUGACCAGAGUGAUAUAAAAGAACUUGCCACAUCAAGAUUUAGUGGCAGCAUUUUUUCAUACAGAGAGACAAUAAAUACAAAAGGCUUUAGGCUGAAGAGAACUUUGGUCAUUCCCAGAUCAGGCAUAAGGUCCAGAGUGGUGGAAGCUCAUUGGCUGCCUGUGGAGGAUGGAUUAUCAUAGGAAAAAAAGGCAGGCAGGCCAGUCAGGUGGCUUUUCUUACACCCACAGGAGAGUGGAUGUUGGUGUGGAUAGUGUUGUCUAAAGGCAGAAGAAUAGCUGACUCGGGAGUGUGGGUAGAGGGAAAAGAAGAAUUCGUUUUCCCUUGAGGCUAGCUGAGUGCUGGCAUUAUUUACUGUUGCCAGGAAGACUGGAAGUGGCAUAAUUUGGAAAUAGGCAUAGAAAGGUCUGACAUUUUCCUUUCACCGUGUUUGAGUUGUCUGUUACCAUACAGACAAAUGUCAGGUGGCACGAACCUGCUUCAUGAGCAAGUUAUAAAUGGAGACCCCUCAACAUGAACAUGGCAUUUUAGGCUAGGGUUAGAUAGAAAUGGAUGAGAUCAUUUAGCGGAGAGUGGAGAUAAAGAGGAGAUAUUGGAGUUGGACCUGAGGUCCACCAAUUUAGUGAUAAAAUGGCGGAAAAUGGAUUAGCGAAGGAGGUGCCAACAAAGGUGGUGGGGGCAAACUAGGGUCAGGUCCCCAGGGUGUUGAAAACCAAGAAAGAAAAGUUUCAAGGAGGGAGUAAUGAACCUAAUGGGGCAAAUGAGAGCCUGAAAUGGAGAGGAGAGGUGGUAUUAAUUGGUUUGACUUAGAUCAUAGUUUUUUUAACCAUGAGGUAAAAUUCUUUACCAAAAAGGAACCUCUUGACUUAAGUUUGCCUUUUAAAUGAACUUAUUGCAUAGGAAUUUGGGUUUAUAGAAAGAUACAAUUUUUUUUUCAGUGUUCAUUCUACUCUCUUUUGAGCUGCAUGACUUUGGGACUUUUGGGUGUUUGUGAAAACUAUAUGGAGUAAUAUUUGUUUUGUUUUGUUUUGUUUUUACGAUGGAGUCUCAUUCUGUCACCCAGGCCGUAAUGCAGUGGCACGAUCUCGGCUCACUGCAAUCUCCACCUCCUGGGCUCAAGCAAUUCUCCUGCCUCGGCCUCCUGAGUAGCUGGGAUUACAGGCUCCCACCACCAUGCUCUGCUAGUUUUUUAUAUUUAGUAGAGACCAGGUUUCACAACCCUUACAUUAGGCAGACCCAACCACCCACCCAGUUUCAGGCAGUGGCACCAGCCUGCCACCAUGGGAGUCUACCUGUAAAUACAUGGUGAAUAGAGCCUAGUGAAUGUGUGUGACUCCCAGACUAAAGUAGGCACAUCCCAGAGGAAAAGAGAAAGGAAUGACAGCCAAACAUGGCCAGCUGCUUUUUACACACCUGAAACAUACAAGCCUAGCCGUUCCUCCACCCUUGGGAAGAAUGUGUGCGAUGAUGCAGAGAGGCUCGCAUGGCUCUGUGCUCCCUGUGCUGUCAGGAAUCUACAAGACUUGGCUCGUAUUUACAUUCGACGCACACUUAGAAAUUUCAUAAAUGAUGAGAUGCAGGCCAAGGGGAUUCCUCAAAGGGCUCCACCCAAAAGGAAAAGAAAGAGAGUUAAACAGAGAAUUAACACUUACGUAUUUGUGGGUAAUCAGCUUAUUCCUCAGCCUCUAGACAGUGAAGAGGAUGAAAAAAUGGAAGAGGAUAACAAAGAAGAGGAAGAAAAAGAUCACAAUGAAGCAAUGAAGCCAGAGGAGCCACCUCAAAAUUUACUGAGAGAAAAAAUCAUGAAGCUGCCCCUCCCUGAAUCUUUAAAAGCUUACUUGACAUAUUUUAGAGACAAAUAACUUAGAUCAAGAAGAAAGAAUGCCUACUGAUAAUUCCUUUAGUCUUGAAAAUGUAGCAUUUGUUAGGAGUUAAAAGAGAGAAUUAUUUCUUUCAUCAGAGCAAAUUAUAGUGGAAAAAAAAUCACUUGUUUCUGUCAGUAACACAAAUGAUGUAUUCAGUGAAUAAAAGAAUCCCUUUUAUAAAAUCUAUUUUUCUUUAAAUCUUGGAAAAAUGUUGUUUUAGCUCAGAGUGAUUUCAAAGUGGAAUGCAACAGUAGUCAAGACUUGUGUACUAUAAAUCCUUUUCUGAUUCCUUACAGAUUUGUAGUGAUGAGGGUUAGAUUUAAUUUUAUAUAUGGUUUAAAUAAUUGUUAAGCUUAUAUAACCUGAUCUGAAUUGCAGUUGUUUGCAUUUCCUCUAUGAAAACUUCAUUUAUCUAAUAAGGAAGUCAAAUGCUUUGUAGACUAUUUACCUUACUUUUGUUGCAAUCACUGUUGUUGGGUUGCUGUAUAUAUAUUCCGGGCAAUAUAUGAGUGCAAUAACAAUACAAGAUAUUGAAUAAUUUAGCUUUAAAAAAUCCCACAAAAUUUAUGAAAUUUUACAGCCCUGCUACUUUUGCUUUUGAAUCUCUUGCCAAAAGACAUGGGUAAAAUAUCUGCCUCUCUCAUAGAGAUUUUAAGAGCACAGCAAGUGAAUUAUUAAAACAGAAAGUAUAUACUUAAUACAACUCUUUAUAUGGACCCUUUACAUUUUCAGUAUUUAAAAAAAUGAGGUUAUCUUAACUCUAUAGAAUUUUAAAAGUAUAUUUAGAAUUGUUUUUUCUGUAGUUCACUGUAUAAAGUAUUUGGUUUUUUAAAAAAAGCAAAACCAUUGUUAUGUGUGACUCUUGAUAGGACACAGAACGAGUGAAUGAGCAUGAGUGAGGCCACUUUCUUGGAUGGCUGUAAGUAGCAGGGCCAGGGUAGACCUGGUCAGCGGAUGCACUUUAGCAGAUGGAACUUCUAGUUUAUCUGAAUAUUUAUCUUUGACAAGGUAGGGCUGAGCCUACAUUUGCUUUUGAUCUAUCUAGUAUAAGAAAUAUUCACAGAAAUUGUAUGUAGAUACCCUUUGUUUUGAAAAUCCUGUUCAGAAUCAUAGUGUAAUCUUUGGGACCUAUGCCAUGUUCAUUUCACUCCUUCCCAUAUUUUUUGUGUUUCUUUUGGUAAAACUAUAAUGGUUUUCAUUUUUUACUUAAUAUCACACAGUUAAACUGUCCAUAUUUGAGCUUUAUUUUAGCUUAUCAGUGAUAAAAAACAGGUAGUAACUGCCAUUGUUUGUUUAUUUGUUUUCCUAAUAAGGCCUGAAAACAGCCAUUCCUUGUUAAGAAAGUGUACAAUGUAACAUAUUUGCUAGAGUUACAUGGAUUAUAUAUUUCUUAAAGGGAAAAAUUUGAGAGUAUCAUGGACUACCACCAGCAUUAUUAUUACAGUAGUUACUCAGAUUUGGUUAAGGAAGCCCAAGCAAUGUAUAGUGAAAGGAUUAUUAUCUCUCUGCUAAGAUUCAGAUAUUGUUUCAGAAAUCUCAGCUCCAGUAAUUCCACAACGUCUAAAAACAAAUGUUUGUGAUCAUGUGUAAGCAUGAAAUUGUUCCAAGUAAGUGAGGAUAUUUUAGUUAUGUGAAAGACAGUUUCAUGGAAGGUAUUUGUUUUAUACCAGUGGCUGGGAUGGUGGAAUUGGGGUUAUUUCUACAAUUAUUCUUAGACGAUUACUAAACUGUUAAGAAAUGCCCCAUAUCAUUUUUGUAUCUAGGAAAGAAAAAAAUCAGUUUCAUACUGUUGUCAUCUGUCAGAAAUGCUCAUUUUAUUUUGAAUUAAAUGUGGCUUUUGAAGUACCUAGUUACCUUGAAUUCCUGGUGACCACAUGUUUUUAUCUGGAAAACCUGGAGAAAGUUAUCUGUCCCAUCUCCCCUGCUUGUUUUUUUUUUUUUUUUUUGGUUGGAGCUGCUGUUUAGAUGAUGCUUUUACUAUGCAGGAGAGAGUUUUUGUUAAGGAUAUAUUUGAAGAUUGGCUUUUCCAUAUUGUCUUUCAUUCUUUGACCGUGGCAAAGUGUACAGUAGAUUUUCAUGAUCAUUGCAUAUUUCUUGUCAUUGAAAUGUAUCUUUUAUGUUUUUAAAUGCAUUCAUUUUACACUUGUGAGUUUAUCAUUGACUUUAAGAGGUAGAAAUGAAAAAUGAAAAUUAAAGCUAAAGCCUUUUUAUCUAUUAAUGCAGAUAUAUUAGAAUAAGAAUAUUUUGGGUUUGUGUUUAUUUUUUAAUGAAUUUAUGUUUACUUGAGUAUGGAAAAUUACGCUUUAUAGGUGGAAAAGUAGCAAAUAAAGAUUAAGUAAAAGUAAGUGAAAAUGAUGGGGAAUAUAGUAUUGGAAUUUUAUAGCUAGUUAAAACAAUAAGUAUCAUCUAAUUUGGGUGUUUAUUUUGCAGAUGAGAAAACAGACCUAGAACCGUGGCAUGUUUUGCCUGAAACACAAUGAGUUAGAGACAGGGCCUAAGAUAGCUUCUAGCAUCAGAUCAAUCCCAAGAAUCCAUCAGCAACCUCAGACCAACCCAAGAAGAUAAUUUAAAUCUAUACUGCUUAUUGGUCAAUAAUAUUUGAUUCUAGUAUUAAUAAAGAAAAAUGUUAUUAAAAUAGCAUACAUAGUAGUAAAAUAAAAUACAAAAAGUGUGUUGAUUUAUAGCUGUUUGAGAUGAUAAAAGUGAAGCAAAGCCUGUUAAAUCAUUGGAAGACUUGGAAAAUUAUUUUAAAUAAACAAUUACAUGUAAUUAA
Molecule: RNA transcript, 6211 nt
Organism: Pan troglodytes (chimpanzee)
Lineage: Eukaryota; Metazoa; Chordata; Mammalia; Primates; Hominidae
Gene: PCMTD1
Gene name: protein-L-isoaspartate (D-aspartate) O-methyltransferase domain containing 1
Exons: 6
Source: RefSeq, a predicted model, not a curated record